AAACCUCGACAAACAGACUUACAUUGUUCUUUGAGAUCGGUGGCCUUCAGAGAAACAAGAUUGACAAAGUUUCUUACUCCUGACAUCUGCCACAAGAUGAAGUCUGGAAACAACUGUGUGUUUUCCGGCUCAUGACAGGACACGACGACAGCAGCAGCUCUCUUAAGAAGCCAGCAUUUGUACCAUUAAAGGGCUCAAAUUUGACACCUGUAAUUUUACCUGGAAGUCUUAAGCCAAGAAAAAAACGGGAAAAGCAAAUUAAGGAAGCAAGGGAAAAAAAAAACAACCGAAAGAAGGAGAUCACAAAUUCAUUAAAGUUGUGGAACUACUUAGUUCUGCUUCUUAGGUACACAAAAGAGAGCCUGAGUAUUUAUCAGGGCUGUUGUGAGAGAGCACUUCAGAGCCUUGGAGCUACGCAAGAGCUGAAUACUUGAGGUGUUUUCAAGAGUAACGUCUUUGUGGAGUCACUAGAAGAGAACAUAGAGACCAGAAGAUGAUGUAAUGGUUGGAGUAAUUAGGAAGAGAAGUUGAGGACUAGAGGAUGGGGAUGGAAAGGAGAGUGUGCAAAUCACUUACCAAGAGAAAAGGCUCGACUCAUGGAUCCUAUUUUUUUGAGGAAGGAAAGCUCAGCCCAUCAGAGAGAUUCUGGACCCCGAGACACAAGGUCACCUUUCUUUCUGAUUGUGUAAUUGAUUUC
Molecule: long non-coding RNA, 697 nt
Organism: Calidris pugnax (ruff)
Lineage: Eukaryota; Metazoa; Chordata; Aves; Charadriiformes; Scolopacidae
Exons: 4
Source: RefSeq, a predicted model, not a curated record